GAUGAACGCUGGCGGCGUGCUUAACACAUGCAAGUCGAACGUGAGAAUAGCAAUAUUUGAAAGUGGCAAACGGGUGAGUAACACGUGGGAACCUGCCUCGAAGUGGGGGAUAACGAUUGGAAACGGUCGCUAAUACCGCACGGUUCUGCUCUGAUGGGAAUGGAGCAGAUAAAGAUUUAUCGCUUUGAGAGGGGCCCGCGGCCGAUUAGCUAGUUGGUAAGGUAAAGGCUUACCAAGGCGAUUAUCGGUAGCUGGUCUGAGAGGACGAUCAGCCACACGGGAACUGAGACACGGUCCCGACUCCUACGGGGGCAGCAGUGAGGAAUAUUGGGCAAUGGGCGAAAGCCUGACCCAGCAACGCCGCGUGGAGGAUGAAGGCUUUAGGGUUGUAAACUCCUUUUGUGGGGAAAGAAUGGAUGGUACCCCAAGAAUAAGUCACGGCUAACUACGUG
This 452-nucleotide ribosomal RNA is filed under the name uncultured bacterium. Its description in RNAcentral is "bacterial SSU rRNA". It matches the Rfam family "Bacterial small subunit ribosomal RNA", at positions 28 to 507 of the family's 1533-position model. The record is from RNAcentral.